AGUGGCGGACGGUUGAGGAAUACAUCGGAAUCUACUUUUUCGUGGGGGAUAACGUAGGGAAACUUACGCUAAUACCGCAUACGACCUACGGGUGAAAGCAGGGGAUCUUCGGACCUUGCGCGAUUGAAUGAGCCGAUGUCGGAUUAGCUAGUUGGCGGGGUAAAGGCCCACCAAGGCGACGAUCCGUAGCUGGUCUGAGAGGAUGAUCAGCCACACUGGAACUGAGACACGGUCCAGACUCCUACGGGAGGCAGCAGUGGGGAAUAUUGGACAAUGGGCGCAAGCCUGAUCCAGCCAUACCGCGUGGGUGAAGAAGGCCUUCGGGUUGUAAAGCCCUUUUGUUGGGAAAGAAAUCCAGCUGGCUAAUACCCGGUUGGGAUGACGGUACCCAAAGAAUAAGCACCGGCUAACUUCGUGCCAGCAGCCGCGGUAAUACGAAGGGUGCAAGCGUUACUCGGAAUUACUGGGCGUAAAGCGUGCGUAGGUGGUUGUUUAAGUCUGUUGUGAAAGCCCUGGGCUCAACCUGGGAACUGCAGUGGAAACUGGACAACUAGAGUGUGGUA
This 563-nucleotide ribosomal RNA is filed under the name Stenotrophomonas sp. RNAcentral describes it as "bacterial SSU rRNA". It matches the Rfam family "Bacterial small subunit ribosomal RNA", at positions 94 to 653 of the family's 1533-position model. Lineage: Bacteria; Pseudomonadati; Pseudomonadota; Gammaproteobacteria; Lysobacterales; Lysobacteraceae. The record is from RNAcentral.